Molecule: ribosomal RNA, 492 nt
Filed under: uncultured bacterium
Lineage: Bacteria
Description: partial 16S ribosomal RNA
Rfam family: Bacterial small subunit ribosomal RNA
Source: RNAcentral
AGUGAACGCUGGCGGUAGGCCUAACACAUGCAAGUCGAACGGCAGCACAGUAAGAGCUUGCUCUUACGGGUGGCGAGUGGCGGACGGGUGAGGAAUACAUCGGAAUCUACUUUUUCGUGGGGGAUAACGUAGGGAAACUUACGCUAAUACCGCAUACGACCUACGGGUGAAAGCAGGGGAUCUUCGGACCUUGCGCGAUUGAAUGAGCCGAUGUCGGAUUAGCUAGUUGGCGGGGUAAAGGCCCACCAAGGCGACGAUCCGUAGCUGGUCUGAGAGGAUGAUGAGCCACCGUGGAACGGAGACACGGUCCAGACUCCUACGGGGGGCAGCAGUGGGGAUUAUUGGACAGGGGCCGCAAGCCUGACCCAGCCAUCCCGGGGGGGGGAAAAAGCCUUUGGGUUUGUAAAGCCUUUUUGUUGGGAAAAAAAAACAGCAGGUUAAUCCCCCCCUGUUCUGCCGUUACCCAAAAAAUAACCCCCGCCUACCUCCGUC